This 305-nucleotide ribosomal RNA is filed under the name uncultured bacterium. RNAcentral's name for it is "bacterial SSU rRNA". It matches the Rfam family "Bacterial small subunit ribosomal RNA", at positions 338 to 640 of the family's 1533-position model. The record is from RNAcentral.
CCUACGGGGGGCAGCAGUGAGGAAUAUUGGUCAAUGGACGAGAGUCUGAACCAGCCAAGUAGCGUGAAGGAUGACUGCCCUAUGGGUUGUAAACUUCUUUUAUAUGGGAAUAAAAUGUUCCACGUGUGGGAUUUUGUAUGUACCAUAUGAAUAAGGAUCGGCUAACUCCGUGCCAGCAGCCGCGGUAAUACGGAGGAUCCGAGCGUUAUCCGGAUUUAUUGGGUUUAAAGGGAGCGUAGGUGGAUUGUUAAGUCAGAUGUGAAAUCCAGGGGCUCAACCCCUGAACUGCAUUUGAAACUGUCGCU